ACUCAGGAUGGGGUCAUGGCUGAGACUAUGAGGGCUGCUCGUGCAUGACCCUGCCUGCUGGCCUCCAUGGGCCCACUAUCUGAAUGUGGUUCCCCUUCUCUGCAGGACCAGGUGCCACCUCCUCUGGGAAGCUUUCCCUGCCCAUCCACAGGGUAUGCCUCCUUGUUCCUCUCCUGCCAUCAGUUUACGUGCCUGUCUCCAUCAACAGACCAGGAGCUCCUGAGGACAGGGACUGAGUCUGUCUGAUUCAUCUCUGCAUUCCUAGCACUUACCUUGGUGCUUAGUGAAAGCUCGAACCUGCCUGGGUUCCCACCUUGUCUCUGCUACCCCCAGCUCUGUGAACUCAGAGCCAACUACUAAGCCUGUAGCAGCCUCCCAAACUGUCCAGUUUUGUUCAGAUGCACCUCCAGAAACACAGGGGUCCAAAAUGCCUCUUCCCAGACACCCUGAGGAGUAGAACAGUGCCAGCAGGCUCCAGGGAUGAGGGACUAG
RNAcentral lists this long non-coding RNA (492 nucleotides) under Pan troglodytes (chimpanzee). Its description in RNAcentral is "lincRNA". The record is from RNAcentral. Lineage: Eukaryota; Metazoa; Chordata; Mammalia; Primates; Hominidae.